UACGGGGGGAGCAAGCGUUGUUCGGAUUUACUGGGCGUAAAGGGCGCGUAGGCGGUAGCACAAGUCAGUUGUGAAAUCUCCGGGCUUAACUCGGAAAGGUCAACUGAUACUGUGCGACUAGAGUGCAGAAGGGGCAACUGGAAUUCUCGGUGUAGCGGUGAAAUGCGUAGAUAUCGGGAGGAACACCAGUGGCGAAGGCGACUACCUGGCCUGUUUCUUGACGCUGAGGCGCGAAAGCUAGGGGAGCAAACGGG
RNAcentral lists this ribosomal RNA (254 nucleotides) under uncultured bacterium. RNAcentral's name for it is "partial 16S ribosomal RNA". It matches the Rfam family "Bacterial small subunit ribosomal RNA", at positions 524 to 776 of the family's 1533-position model. The record is from RNAcentral.